UAAUCCAUUCAGGUGAUAUUAAUGGCCUUUUCCUGCCAGGAACUCCAGUGGGCACUCAGGAAGCCAGGAUUACAGGGCUCUAUCCAGUCACCGCAUGUCUCGGCAUUCGGGAAGCCUAUCUCAGUCUCCUCAAAUUCUGCACACAUAAAACUUCAGAGCCUGGGAGCGACCCAUGAAACGCAGGUUUUUAAGGACAAAACAAUAGGACAAAAGUGCUGUAUAUUGUCCUUAAGAUGACACAUGAAUUUAAAAUGCAUAGUGUUUGGAUUAUUCAUGAGAGCCCCGCAAGAACGAUGUCCCAGGGGUUUUUGCCAGGAACAUGCCUGAGAUUGUAGAUAAGAAUCAAGCAUCUGGGGCUGCCGCACAAUGGAAAACUCCAGCACUCCAUGGAACUUUUCCAUCUGCAGCAGUCGGAGGAUUUGCCUGAGAACAUACGCGGCAUGAAGACACUCUCAGCCCUCAAGGGCACCCAGUCAGCGCUGUUUAAGGACGGUUUUUCUGUUCACAGCAUACUUCAUGAUUACAGCUUCACUCCAUUGGAUACAACUAUUUACUGAGCAUCUCCUGACACCAGAGAGGACGCAACAAAAAUCACAACUCCUAGAACUGCACAGUCUAAAUGGCAACCACUAGCCCCUGUGACAACUGAUCACUUGAAAAAUUCUUUAGACGACAGCCAUCAAGCAGCAAAUACCUCGCAGGAGGCCAUUGUGUUUCUAUUUGAACUUCUAUGGAUGUCAAGCUCUGUUCUUCAAAAUUUAGCCCUACAGAUGGGUGGCCCACCGGAGAGAAUUAAUCUCACUAUGCAGCCAACACUACCCUUUCUGGAUCUUUCCCCAGUAGUGUGGAUUCUGCUCUAGUCCAGAAUUAUGCAGAAUAAGUAUACUUCAUCUUAGACACCAUAAUUCUUCAAAUAUCUAAAAUGUAUAUUAUGCUCUCCAAAUCCUGGUCAUCUCCAGGUUAAGUAUCUCUCAAAAACAGUCCAUCAGAUAAUAUGAUUUUAAAUCUUUAUCCCCUUGGUCAUAUACCCACAAUCUCAUUCUAUUUACCAAUAUCCCUACUGAUGCAUAAACUACA
This 1077-nucleotide long non-coding RNA is filed under the name Homo sapiens (human). RNAcentral's name for it is "HSALNT0404134". Lineage: Eukaryota; Metazoa; Chordata; Mammalia; Primates; Hominidae. The record is from RNAcentral.